AAAAUAAAAUUAAUGAGGAUUUAAAUAAAUUUAUCAAGUGUCGAGCGUACGUGAAGAAAAAAAUAAAAAAUGCAAAUAUGAAACGUGGAAUAGGAAUUAAUAUAUCCGAGGAGGAAAGUUGCGAAGGCGCUUGCUGAUAGUUGUCGCAGCACUACAGCGUUUGACAACGAAAAUCCCGAGAGCUGAAAAAAAAAAUCCAAAAUUUUUUGAAU
Cotesia glomerata is the source of this 212-nucleotide long non-coding RNA. RefSeq lists it as uncharacterized. Lineage: Eukaryota; Metazoa; Arthropoda; Insecta; Hymenoptera; Braconidae. The transcript is spliced from 2 exons. The record is from RefSeq and is a predicted model, not a curated record.